Long non-coding RNA from Anguilla rostrata (American eel), 2012 nucleotides. RefSeq lists it as uncharacterized. The record is from RefSeq and is a predicted model, not a curated record. Lineage: Eukaryota; Metazoa; Chordata; Actinopteri; Anguilliformes; Anguillidae. The transcript has 2 exons.
UGCAGCAAUAAGAAUUAAGAUAGGGAAUGAUAUUGCUAGUUUCUGUCGCUUUGUAGUACACAUUACAAUAUACGCAAAGGGAGUAGCAUUAAUAGGUUAGCCAUUUGCUGUAUUAUAUUGUAUGAUGGCGUGGGUGGGUUAUAACUUCGGGAAGGUGUGAACGAUGACCAGAUAGCGGUGCAGAGUGCAUGGCUUGGGCACAGAGCUCCCCCGCGAGCAGAAGGAAGGAUAUCACCGCAACCAAGCAACAAUGGCUCACACGUCCCCCGAUAGCAGGACUCACAAAUAGACUUCCUGACGUUUUCUCUUGUGCUCUGGAGCACUUCCUGUUCUCUCAAGGACCGUGCACAGUCCCUCUCUCCUCCUGAGAGCAGAAAAUAGCUUGUAGAAAAUAAUAAGAAACAAUAAGAAUGCCCUUCCCACUCUCUCUGUCUGUCUGGAUCACCACACGCAGUCCUCCGUGUAAUGCAGUGGAUUUAACAUCUAACUAUGGCCAGCGCUUCAAACGUCAGCAAUGAAGUCCUGCUGUAACUUUUCAUUGCUAUCUCGAUUUAUAAAGCUAUGAUCUACUUAUUUUUAAACACACACACACGCACGCACAAAUUAUAAUUAUAGCAAAAAUAGUAGUAAGUAAGAAUAUUGAUGAGUUUGUGUGAGACAAAGGGGAAACUCAAUGUUCACAAAAUUCUGAAAGAAUCUAUGGGGGACAGAAGCAAGAAAGUUCUCAUACAGUACUUAAAAGCAACGGGGCUGAUCAAUCGAAUUUUAUGUUUAUUUAUUUAUUUAUUUAUUGUUUUUGCACUCCAGAUCAGUGGGUGGCGGCAAUGCACACUUUGCGGCAUUUAAAACAGCUUUUAAAAAAUCCAAAGAAGAAAAAAGAAGUAGUUUGGGGUGGGCGGAGUGAAGCAGACAUUGUAUUUCGAGUUGUAGUUCUGAUGGGGGAGAUUUAAAUAUUUUCCUUGCUUUUUAAUACAGUGCCUUUCAAAACUUUUCGACAGCUAUACAUUUAGUGUGCAUAUAUGACGAAGAGGAGAGCGGAAGACGCCUUGUUCUGCGACGCUCCCUUGAAAAGAUGUGCUCGUUCGCUGUACAGGAUUGAUGCGCAGUCGCCAGGCAUGGCUGUAGCCUUUGGAGCUAACGUGAACCCAGCGUCGCUGCCCAGUUUGGCAGAGAGCUGCAGGAAGAGAGCGUUUUGUUCCGAUGAACAGGAAUUAACUGAAGUUGCGAGACCGCGAAAGAAGUCGACCACGGACCGUGAUAACCGAACUGCAGAGACGCACGUGUCAGGGAAAUACAACAUUGUUAGCUUAAAGCAUUCUGGAAGUUUCUUUGAAGAAGAGAACAAGCAAUCAGAGAUUUCUGUUUUAAAUUCACCUGGUAGUUUUUCAAAGAAAAGAAUGAGAGACGAUAGCGUCGGAUCUGAAAAUGUAUUACAACAGCCCGAUAAGGGGACGCUGACGGAUGAUGACCAUUGCACUUUUAAUUCAUUCCAGUACUGGAGGGUUCCUCUGCCCGAGGUAGACCUCUCUCUUCUGCAGACUAACGGUGACGCGGAAGAACUCUCUCAACAGCCUGUCAAAGACUCGUCGGUGUUGUCAGAAACCGACGCCAUGGAGACGUGAAGUCGAAUUUCUGGUUGUAGCCAAUAAAAGAUUUUGUAAAUGCAGAUGCUUUAUGUAUUAGUUUUCUUUUUUAAAAAGAAAUAAUCCAGACUUGCCGCUUUGGUAUUUAUGGUACCGUCACGCCUUACUUAAAUAGAUAGUUGAAGUAUGGGCGUUCAGUGGUAGCCAGUGUAUUUUCCCGUAUUAUGUAGUGACGUCUAUUUUACAUUCCAUUGUUGCCGAGCUUUUUUUCACUUGAUUUCAGUGUUGGUUCAUUCCUGCAGCAUUACAUUUAUUUUACUGUUUUGUGUAGGAAACAUGUUACAUGCAGUAUAAUUUGCAGUUACUCUUACAUAAUGAGUGUACAAUGUGCUUUUGAGGAAUCUCAAUAAAUACGCCAUAUCAAUCUCA